Molecule: ribosomal RNA, 2900 nt
Filed under: Escherichia coli
Lineage: Bacteria; Pseudomonadati; Pseudomonadota; Gammaproteobacteria; Enterobacterales; Enterobacteriaceae
Description: bacterial LSU rRNA
Rfam family: Bacterial large subunit ribosomal RNA
Source: RNAcentral
UAAGCGACUAAGCGUACACGGUGGAUGCCCUGGCAGUCAGAGGCGAUGAAGGACGUGCUAAUCUGCGAUAAGCGUCGGUAAGGUGAUAUGAACCGUUAUAACCGGCGAUUUCCGAAUGGGGAAACCCAGUGUGUUUCGACACACUAUCAUUAACUGAAUCCAUAGGUUAAUGAGGCGAACCGGGGGAACUGAAACAUCUAAGUACCCCGAGGAAAAGAAAUCAACCGAGAUUCCCCCAGUAGCGGCGAGCGAACGGGGAGCAGCCCAGAGCCUGAAUCAGUGUGUGUGUUAGUGGAAGCGUCUGGAAAGGCGCGCGAUACAGGGUGACAGCCCCGUACACAAAAAUGCACAUAUUGUGAGCUCGAUGAGUAGGGCGGGACACGUGGUAUCCUGUCUGAAUAUGGGGGGACCAUCCUCCAAGGCUAAAUACUCCUGACUGACCGAUAGUGAACCAGUACCGUGAGGGAAAGGCGAAAAGAACCCCGGCGAGGGGAGUGAAAAAGAACCUGAAACCGUGUACGUACAAGCAGUGGGAGCCUCUUUAUGGGGUGACUGCGUACCUUUUGUAUAAUGGGUCAGCGACUUAUAUUCUGUAGCAAGGUUAACCGAAUAGGGGAGCCGAAGGGAAACCGAGUCUUAACUGGGCGUUAAGUUGCAGGGUAUAGACCCGAAACCCGGUGAUCUAGCCAUGGGCAGGUUGAAGGUUGGGUAACACUAACUGGAGGACCGAACCGACUAAUGUUGAAAAAUUAGCGGAUGACUUGUGGCUGGGGGUGAAAGGCCAAUCAAACCGGGAGAUAGCUGGUUCUCCCCGAAAGCUAUUUAGGUAGCGCCUCGUGAAUUCAUCUCCGGGGGUAGAGCACUGUUUCGGCAAGGGGGUCAUCCCGACUUACCAACCCGAUGCAAACUGCGAAUACCGGAGAAUGUUAUCACGGGAGACACACGGCGGGUGCUAACGUCCGUCGUGAAGAGGGAAACAACCCAGACCGCCAGCUAAGGUCCCAAAGUCAUGGUUAAGUGGGAAACGAUGUGGGAAGGCCCAGACAGCCAGGAUGUUGGCUUAGAAGCAGCCAUCAUUUAAAGAAAGCGUAAUAGCUCACUGGUCGAGUCGGCCUGCGCGGAAGAUGUAACGGGGCUAAACCAUGCACCGAAGCUGCGGCAGCGACACUAUGUGUUGUUGGGUAGGGGAGCGUUCUGUAAGCCUGUGAAGGUGUGCUGUGAGGUAUGCUGGAGGUAUCAGAAGUGCGAAUGCUGACAUAAGUAACGAUAAAGCGGGUGAAAAGCCCGCUCGCCGGAAGACCAAGGGUUCCUGUCCAACGUUAAUCGGGGCAGGGUGAGUCGACCCCUAAGGCGAGGCCGAAAGGCGUAGUCGAUGGGAAACAGGUUAAUAUUCCUGUACUUGGUGUUACUGCGAAGGGGGGACGGAGAAGGCUAUGUUGGCCGGGCGACGGUUGUCCCGGUUUAAGCGUGUAGGCUGGUUUUCCAGGCAAAUCCGGAAAAUCAAGGCUGAGGCGUGAUGACGAGGCACUACGGUGCUGAAGCAACAAAUGCCCUGCUUCCAGGAAAAGCCUCUAAGCAUCAGGUAACAUCAAAUCGUACCCCAAACCGACACAGGUGGUCAGGUAGAGAAUACCAAGGCGCUUGAGAGAACUCGGGUGAAGGAACUAGGCAAAAUGGUGCCGUAACUUCGGGAGAAGGCACGCUGAUAUGUAGGUGAAGUCCCUUGCGGAUGGAGCUGAAAUCAGUCGAAGAUACCAGCUGGCUGCAACUGUUUAUUAAAAACACAGCACUGUGCAAACACGAAAGUGGACGUAUACGGUGUGACGCCUGCCCGGUGCCGGAAGGUUAAUUGAUGGGGUUAGCGGUAACGCGAAGCUCUUGAUCGAAGCCCCGGUAAACGGCGGCCGUAACUAUAACGGUCCUAAGGUAGCGAAAUUCCUUGUCGGGUAAGUUCCGACCUGCACGAAUGGCGUAAUGAUGGCCAGGCUGUCUCCACCCGAGACUCAGUGAAAUUGAACUCGCUGUGAAGAUGCAGUGUACCCGCGGCAAGACGGAAAGACCCCGUGAACCUUUACUAUAGCUUGACACUGAACAUUGAGCCUUGAUGUGUAGGAUAGGUGGGAGGCUUUGAAGUGUGGACGCCAGUCUGCAUGGAGCCGACCUUGAAAUACCACCCUUUAAUGUUUGAUGUUCUAACGUUGGCCCCUAAUCGGGGUUGCGGACAGUGUCUGGUGGGUAGUUUGACUGGGGCGGUCUCCUCCUAAAGAGUAACGGAGGAGCACGAAGGUUGGCUAAUCCUGGUCGGACAUCAGGAGGUUAGUGCAAUGGCAUAAGCCAGCUUGACUGCGAGCGUGACGGCGCGAGCAGGUGCGAAAGCAGGUCAUAGUGAUCCGGUGGUUCUGAAUGGAAGGGCCAUCGCUCAACGGAUAAAAGGUACUCCGGGGAUAACAGGCUGAUACCGCCCAAGAGUUCAUAUCGACGGCGGUGUUUGGCACCUCGAUGUCGGCUCAUCACAUCCUGGGGCUGAAGUAGGUCCCAAGGGUAUGGCUGUUCGCCAUUUAAAGUGGUACGCGAGCUGGGUUUAGAACGUCGUGAGACAGUUCGGUCCCUAUCUGCCGUGGGCGCUGGAGAACUGAGGGGGGCUGCUCCUAGUACGAGAGGACCGGAGUGGACGCAUCACUGGUGUUCGGGUUGUCAUGCCAAUGGCACUGCCCGGUAGCUAAAUGCGGAAGAGAUAAGUGCUGAAAGCAUCUAAGCACGAAACUUGCCCCGAGAUGAGUUCUCCCUGACCCUUUAAGGGUCCUGAAGGAACGUUGAAGACGACGACGUUGAUAGGCCGGGUGUGUAAGCGCAGCGAUGCGUUGAGCUAACCGGUACUAAUGAACCGUGAGGCUUAACCU